UAGAGUUUGAUUUAAGGUUUAGUUUAGGGUUUAGGAUUUGGAUUAGAGUUUAGGAUUGGAUUAGGGUUUGGAUUAGGGUUUGGAUUAGGGUUUAGGAUUUGGUUAGGAUUUGAUUUAGGGUUUGGAUUAGAAUUUGGUUAGGAUUUGAUUUAAGGUUUGGUUUAGGGUUUAAGAUUUGGAUUAGAGUUUAGGGUUGGAUUAGGGUUUGGAUUAGGGUUUGGAUUAGUAUUUGGAGUUUGGUUAGGAUUCGAUUUAGGAUUUGGAUUAGGAUUUGGUUAGGAUUUGAUUUAAGGUUUGGAUUAGGGUUUAGGGUUUGGUUAGGGUUUGAUUUAGGGUUUGGAUUAGGAUUUGGUUAGGAUUUGAUUUAAGGUUUGGUUUAGGGUUUAGGGUUCGAUUAAGAUUUGGUUUAGGAUUUGAUUUAGAGUUUGGUUUAGGGUUUAGGGUUUGAAACAAGGUUUAAUUUAAGAUUUGUUUAGGAUUUGACUUAGGGUUUAGGAAUUAUUAGGGUUUAAGAUUUAAUUAGGUUUGGUCUAAAGUUGAGUGAAAUUCAAUAGGGUUUUAACUAGAAUUAAAUUAAGGUAAAUUGACAUAUAUUUGAGUAGAAUUUGUGAUCAUUCU
Molecule: long non-coding RNA, 618 nt
Filed under: Physcomitrium patens
Lineage: Eukaryota; Viridiplantae; Streptophyta; Bryopsida; Funariales; Funariaceae
Description: long non-coding RNA (PPAT_LNC004888)
Source: RNAcentral